Molecule: long non-coding RNA, 9280 nt
Filed under: Ananas comosus (pineapple)
Lineage: Eukaryota; Viridiplantae; Streptophyta; Magnoliopsida; Poales; Bromeliaceae
Description: long non-coding RNA (ACOM_LNC008380)
Source: RNAcentral
UCUUUUACUUCUCUUCUUCGAAUAAAAUUAUUCCCACAACAUUAUUUUUUUAGAAAAAGCACUACAACAGAAUUAGAUUAUAGGGACACAUGUUUGGGACACUUUUGAGUAAGUGUCCCAUUUAUACUAAAACUUAAAAAAAUAUCUACUAAUGCCUAAAUAUAAAGUCCAAUCCAACUAAAAAUAAAAGAUUACUCUACUCAACCCACCACACCCAGUCCAUUUGGCCAGAUUACAAACAGAAAAAAAAGAAAAAUCAAUUGCCAUAUUUUCUUCUCUCUUCACUCAAUCCACUGAAAUUCUAGACGAAGAACCUUUCCUGUCGUCCUCCUCCGCCACCGCAGCCAACGAGAUAGAGUUUCGGCGGUUGCUAAAUACUUAAAUAAGUGUUGGUAAAUUAGCAGUACUUUUUUAGGUUAUAGCGACACUCUUUAACUGUCAUUAUAUACCUAGCGACCCCACAUAUAGCAACACUUUUUAAAAGUGUCGGUACUUUUAGCUAGGAGCACUUUUUUGACAUGUACCUAUAUUUAAAAGUGUCGCUAUAGAUCGUUUUUGUUGUAGUGAAGGACGGUGUACAAAAGUAAAAUAAAACUUUAUCAAUCAUGCUAUACCCCACAUAGCAGAGCCAAAUAGUAAGUAAACCAAAUAAUGCCACCUCUGCCACUUUUACAGUAUUCAUUUUCUAUCUUUUUUAAAAUGCCCUUACAAAAAGUUCUUCAUGUUCAUACCUUCAGUAAAAUAAAAAUUACAAUAUUUACUAAACAAAAAUUACAACAUUUGCGCAUGCCCAUUAAAAUGUUAUAUAAUUUAUAUCCCACAGCUCACUACAAUAAAAACGGUAUAUAGCGACACUUUCAAAUAUCGGUAUAGGUCAAAAAAAAUAUUGCUGGCUAAAUUACCAACACUUUUUAAAAGUGUUGCUAUAUGUGGAAUCGUUAUAGGUAGGGCCGCCUUGAUAUUUGGCACCCACUCUACCAGCGAUCUGUGGCGGAAGGAUACGUGGCGAUCAUAGCCCUCUACGGUCCCUGCGAGAUCCUCAUAGCUGAACUCCAGCUGCCAGAACCCUAUUUCAUCGGCUGCAGCGGCGGAAAAGAAAAAGGGAAGAUGGUGAUCAAUUUUUCUUUUUUUUUUCUUUUUAAUUUGAAAUUGGGCCAAGUGGGCUGGAUGUGAUUGAUUAAGUAGAGAAAUUUUUUAUUUUUGAUUGGAUUGAACUUUAUAUUUAAGUCUUAAUAAAUUUUGAAAAAGAAUCAUGACAUAAAUAUGACACUUAUAUAAAAAUGUUCUAAAUAUGUGUCCCUAUAAUCUAAUUUUGUUGUAGUACAGUACUUACACAUUCUUCAUAUGAAUUAGAAGAGUCAUUCAACUCAAGCGGAAAUUUUGGUUUAAAUUAGAGAUUUACCUAUCAAAAACCAAUUUUUCAGAGGGCAUAUAUACAUGACAUGAAAUAUAUAUUAACUCUUGUAAUUAAUUUGUAGUAGAUCACGUAACAAAAUGAGUUUAGUUUGAAGGGAUUGUAGAAAAGUCAAAAGAUGACAUUGUAGGAGCAUAUAUAUACCAACUUUAUUUUUUAUUUCUUUUCUUUUGGGAAAAAAGAUGUAGCAGGUGUAAACACCCACUUUGUUAGGGGUCUGCACGCAUAAUGAGAUUUCAUUAAUUAUUAAACCAGAUUAAUGGCACCGUUCGUUGCCGACUUAAUGCUGAUUUUUUUUUUUUUUGUAUAUAUCUAUCUAUCCAUCUAUAUAUAUAUAUAUAUAUAUAUAUAGUCUCAGAAACUGUUUCUGUAGCAAUAUUGUCCUUUGCUAUUUAAUACCUCUCCUACUACUGUGUUAGGCACAAUCAUAAUAGACACUUCGCGCACCUCUAUCUUGUCUUGGUCAAUAUUAUUUGCAUUGUUUAUGCAUACGAGUAUGUAUAUAUAUAUAUAUAGAGUCCGUCUACUAUACUUUCGAAAGUACCGGGACCUCCGUGCUUGUAAAUUAUUUUCGAUGAUAGGACAUCCGAUUCGACGAUCGGCUCCGUUAGGUAUAAUCUACCCUAUUGGAACUAUCUAGAAACCAAAUUUUAUAAUUUUUUGACACCAUUUACUAAGCGAUCAAAAGGUCCCAAAAAUGACUAUUUUAACGGCCGAUGCGGCACGUUUUUAAGUUCAACGGUGUAGAAAUAUCCAAAUUACAUGAAAAUUUAAUAGAAAAUUCUACUUAACGUCAAUAGCAAGAUCAAUACUUCCGAUUUGAAAUUUGAGUCCUUUAUCAUUAUUUUUUAUAAGAUUUUUAUUUUCAGCCGUUCAUUUUGAGGCUACUCGUUCACUAGGCAAAAGAAGUCAAAAAAUUAUGAAAUUUGGUUUCUAGAUAGUUCCAAUAGCUUAGAUCAUGUCUAACGGAACCGAUCACCGAAUUGGACGUCCCAUCAUCGAAAACAAUUUACAAGUACGGAGGCCCCCGUACUUUCGAAAGCAUAGGAGCCUAGCUCUAUAUAUAUAUAUAUAUAUAUAUAUAUAUAUAUGGUGUGAAAUAUGGUGAAGAUAAGAUGAAUUAUUAAUUUUACGUACAUUGUUUGUAAAAUAAUGAAAGUGACAAUUAAUACAUAGAUGUUUAUAUUUCAAAUAAUGGAUGUACAAAUAAGUUAACUCAUGACGUCCUAGUGCUGAUGGGACUUACGACUAACUCUUAUACCAUAUUAUCUAUGAAAGUGUUUCAAUAUAUAGAUCAGAAAAUAAUUCAAGAAUUGUGCAUAUAUAUAUAUAUAUAGUAAAACCAUAAACAUACUCUUAAAUUGAGCGUGCAAUGGAGACAAUAUCGAACUCUUUUAAAUUUGUUACACAGGAAAAUAUAAUAUAUACAAAAAAAAAAGACAAAUUUGCAAUAAAAUUGUUUACAUAUAUAGGAAAUUAAUAAAUUUUGUCCAUGAAAUUUUUCGGCCUUAAAGAGAUCCAUUUGGGGUUACUCCACAUCAAGCCCAUAGGAGUUAGAAAAGAGGAAUAUACAACUGCAUGGCCCAUGGCCCAAUCUUAUUAAUUAGACACCAAAACAGAGAGGUUGAAAUGCCCAAAUCAAUUAUUUAAUGUAUACUAAUAAUAAUUUACACACCAAGUAACUAAGAAAGAACAGCAAGGAUUUACAAUAUAUUUUUUACAUCCACGUACCGUAGCCGCCGUGCAUGCACGCGAGCUUUCAAAAACUUUGCGUGUAGAAACUAAAAGAUACAUAUCAAUCACGCAAUUUUACUCAAAACACAGAUGUUCAACAUAAAAAGCUCGAUCCGAUCAGAGCAAUCGAGCCAGGCUUAUAGAACAAUCGACUAUCACACUUAGAGAACAACAGAACCUGAUUGCGUAUGUACAUGCAUAACAGGUGCAUGUAUUCGAAGAUUACGUAAGAUAAAGGAAGAACCUAGCUACGUACAAUCAUAAAGUUUCACCAACGCGCGCAACACCUCGAUUUUUCAUUGAAUCAACAAGAUAAUUAAUUAUUAUAGACUUAAAGUUGCAAAACCAAAAAAUAGAUAGAAAAAUUUUAUUUUUAUUUAAGAAAAGGCCUUGUUGGCUUGUUCUAUAUACUACCUACCUCUAAAGCUGUACAAAGAAGCCACGGUCUCGAACUCUUCUUCUUAAUUUUGGUGCCGAGACAUGUCAAGUCGUUUGUCGUUUGGGUGCGGACACGCGACCUUAAUUAAUACAACUUGGGGAGGACAAAAUAAACCCGAACUCUUCUUAGGUCGUAGGAUAUAUUAAUGGUACGUGCAAACUCACAACCCACAGGUUUCGCAUAUGUAGGAAUUAUGAGCAUGCAAUAAUUGAUUAACCCAUAUUUGCGGCAAAAAAUUUUGAAUUAAUAAAUUUUACGAUUUUUCAAUAUUAUUGAUCAAGCCAGCGAAAUGAUUCAAAAUUAUGGGCACGCAUAUAUGUACGCAUGUAAUCCAACAAUUUAUUCAUUAUUAGGUGCAUGCACAUUGAUCCAAUAAUGAACUAGCUUACCUGAGAUUAAUUAGGCUGUACAUGUCCAUUAAUUAUGUAGUUUAGCUGAGGUGACAGCUGCACUGACAAAUAAAGAUUUAAAUGUCUAUCGGUACAGACCGUAUUUACCGUGUUAUAUUGUGCAAGUAAAAUAUCAAUAUGAUACAGUCCUCGUACCGAUAGUACAAUUCAAAACCCUCUAUUUUUUAAAUUAGUAAGUAAUUUUUUCAAUAAAAUUUAAAAAAUUUGAUAAAAAUAUAUAAUAAAUAAUAGGCAUAUUUUGUUGUUAAAAAAAAUAAAUAUUUCAUAUCAUUACGUGUCGGCACACAUAUAUUUUUUGUGACUGGCAUAUAUCUACAUGAUCCGUCACGUACCAUGCCGUACCAUAGUGAUAAGUUUCCAGCACGAUCUCAUGCCGCAACACUUAAAUUCUUGCUUACAGAUAACUCUGUGAAGUCAGUGAAGCACGUGUUCUAAUCGUACAUCUCAUUUUAAGUAAAAUCUCUAGAUCUAAUCGUACAUCUCAUUUUAAGUAAAAUCUCUAAAUACAGAUUGUAUUUUUUUGUUAGAAAUUAUAAGAUUUGUUUUAGAGGAUUAAUAAAGAAAGUGAGAUUCACAUUCAGCAUGGAGUUCUUGUAGUUUGUUAGUAGUUUCUUCGCCUAAAAAUAGUAAUUAAUAUCAAUGAGUCUACCUGUAUUGAAAUGUCUAAGUGAGAGUACAAGUGUAUACAAUGAUUAAAUUAUUCUUUAUUGAUUUGUGCUACCAAUCGAACUUACGUAUAUUUAUUAGUGUUAUUGGAACUUCAACAUCUAUUUCUAUUUCUCUACAUUAUUUCUUUUUUUCUCUACAUUAAAGGAGGGUUUGGGGGGACCUUGGGGUGACACGUGUCCCCCCAAACCCCCCUUUACUCUCUCUCCCUCUAUAUAUAUAUAUAUAUAUAUAUAUAUAUAUAUUGAUAUCAAAAUUUAAAAUUUUGANNNNNNNNNNNNNNNNNNNNNNNNNNNNNNNNNNNNNNNNNNNNNNNNNNNNNNNNNNNNNNNNNNNNNNNNNNNNNNNNNNNNNNNNNNUUUUUUAAAAUUAUUUUGAUAUAUUUAUCACAAAUCUUUUUUCGCAUAAAUCUUUAUAAAAUAAGUUGUCGUUUUAAUAAAUUUUAUUUAAAUAAAAUUAACUAUUAAAUUAUUUUUAUAUAACUUUUAUUUAAUUAAUAAUUAGACUUAUAAAAUUAUUUAAAAAUAUAAAAAACUAAAAUUUAUUAAAAAAAAAUUUUAAAUCCGCAGCAUCGCGCGGGUAUUUCACUAGUUAUAUAAGUACUAUUUGACUCUCUUCAAAAAAAAAGAAAAAAGAGAAAAGAAAAAAGAAUUCAACUAUAUAUGUUCAAAAACACUAAUUAGCCAGAGUUUUUCGCUUUUAAAAAUUCAUACUUUUAUAUUAUAUGUCUUAAUAAUUGCCAUUGAUUGGUUUCUAACAAUUACGUACCUUUUUAUUUCAUGAUCAAAUAAAAAUAUUACUGAUCUACGUUACAUAAAAGAUCAAUUGUUUUCACCAGGUACAUUACAUAUAUUUCCACAUCAAGACAAGCAUAACUAAUAAUAGAAUAGUACCGACCGUUCCUAGAGCAAGUGGUAAAGGGUUUGGUGGUUGAUACACGAAACCCAAGUUCGAAUCCAAGUUGAUUCACAUUUCUAGCUAAAUUUAUUUCUAAAUGAAAUAAACGAAGCGAAUAGCAUGCUAUCUAUCUCUCUCAAAAAAAAAAGGAAAAAAAUAGUGAGCAUAAGUUUUAAUUAAUAAAUAAAUAUAUAUAUCUUGUACAAAUUACAGUCUCUAUUUUGAUAUUAAUUGAAGUACUCCUUUAUGCAUAUAGAUAUAAUUAAAUUCGACUCAUUGAUUAUAUUGUACUACAAAUGUUUGAGAAACAAAAGAAGCAUACGUUAAGAAAAGCACCAAAGUUGUACUAAUUAAUGCUAAUACACUUUAGUCAUAUCAUAAAAAGACAAAAUUCAAUUAUUUUUUUAAAAAUAAAAUAUUGCUUCAAGUUCGUACUUUUAAUUAGUCAUAUCAUUAAAAAGACAAAAUUUAAUUUUUUUUUAAAGAAAAAUAAUAUAUUGCUACAUAUUCAUACUUAACUCAGACCUAUGUAAGUCCAAAAUGUGAUAAAUUUAUUAGAAUUCAUCGAACUCAAAAGCUUAAAAUUAAUUUGACACGGAAUUGUGAAUCACCCAAUUAAUUUCCUUUUGAACUCAAUUAAUCCUCCAAUCUUAUCAAAAUUCAUCUAGUGCCACGAGUUUUCAUCAAUCAAUUUUAACUCUUAUUUAUUAUUUUGUUGUAAUUUGUUUUAGAUUAAUUAAAAGAAAAUAAUAACUUCUCCUUGAUCUAUGAUCAUUAAUUUACAUCUUUCUCUGUUGAAAUUUAAAGCUUUGAAUUUCAAGUCAUUCAGAAGGUCUAAUUACAUGUAAAUCACUAGAGAAAUCUUGCAGCUAGAGCAAGUGGCAAAGGGUUUGAUAGUUGGUACCCGAGACCCAAGUUCGAAUCCUAGUUGAUUCACAUUUCCAGCUAAGUUUAUUUCUAAAUGAAAUAAACGAAACAGAUAGUGUGCUAUCUAUCUCUCAAAAAAAAAAAAAAUCUUGCAGCACAAUUCGAAAAUGAUUCAAUUUUAGCAAUCACUUAAAUAUAUAAUUGUAAAUUAAUUUGCUUAAAACAUUAAUUAUAAACAUUUGAUUUUCCUCGAUUCAUCAUUAAUUGUUUACUUUUUUAUUUAGGUGUGUUCCAUGUUAAUUGCUUCCACAAUUUAAUAAAUUAAGGCACCGUCGUUGGGGUCUUUAAUUGUAAGAUUCUAACACUCACAUAAACUUUAUACUGAUACAUUUCACAAGAUACUCAUAGGUAAUAUUUCACGUACGCACCUCAUUCGCAUACACUAUCUAAAAUACUAAUAUAUAUGUCAGUAAUGCGUAACCAAUCAUUGGUGACGAAUCAGAAUACGCAACGGAAACUAAUAAUUCACGUUGAACAUGUCGGAUUUUUGUGAGGUGAUAGUGUUGCCGACUAAUUAAUAAAAAGAAGGUCAAAAACAACUGUAGGGAACACGGAACGUACGUGAGGAUCGAUACAUCCCAUCAUGCACGUUGAUGAAUUCAAUUUGGUGCAUGCAUGUGAUCCACGUAAUUUGUUUAGCACAUGCGUACGUGAUGUGUUGCUCACAUGGCCCUAUUAUUAUUGUAGGGUUGUUUAGUAAAGUUAUGUUUUGGAUAACGCUGUUAAAAAAAGUGCUAUAUCAAUAUCUCUUUAAUGAUACUUUCGUACUGUAAAAUUAUGAGCUCUAAGCUAUUGGAAGCGACAUCUAGCUAGGGGUAUAGAAUCUCAUUUUAUUGUUCUUCCCUAGCAAAAAUUUUAAACUCCUUUGUUGGUCAAAUGUUCUAUGUAUCAUAUGUAUUAUUUGCGAUAAAACGCGUAAAAAAGAUAUAUGCCUCUAGGUGCUUAUAUGUUAAUAUAGCUUAGCUUUUGGAAUAAUGUUCGUUUAAAAGAAAAUUUAGCAAGUAAUCAACUGUCGAAACAAGUUAUUAAAGAGAUUUUCACGAAAAAUCUGUUAAUGCUUUUUCUAACAAUUUUACUAGCUAAUUAACCCAAUUCCUUAAUUAACAAGAGCUUCAGCUUGGUACAUAUGCAUAUGGCCAUCUAAAUCGCAAAUUUAGUCGUCAAAUUAAUUGGUUCAAAAACAUAAACGUGACGAGGUGAAGGUCCAAACCCUUAAACUUGAUUAAUAUUACCGAUUUUAAUCACUAGUCUAACUAUUUAUUUCAUUUCCUGCCAAAAUCACCCACUUCCCAAAAUACUUAAGCCCAAAUCACUAUUAUAAAGUAAUAUGCUUGUCACGUAUUAUAUAUCCCUCGUACUAUUCCAUAUUAUCGGAUGUGAAAAACAAUUAACUUGUCGUAGAUAAAGUACCCCUAGCUAUAUAUAAAAGCUGCUUCUUUUUAUCUGUUUCCCCUUAUAUGUAACACCAUUUUCAAUUAAUUGUAACACUCAAUAUGAGUUUGAAACCAAUAUGAAUCACUUUAUCAUCAAAAAAAUCAAGUAAUAUCAAAAAUGAAAGUGGAAUAUUAAUUAGUUGUGAGCCAUGCAUGAACAUUGCUUGUAUCUUGUUUGAGCUCGUUAAUACGAAAUAAAAUGCUUAUCUUUGUGCUCCAAUUUAUAAUAGUUAACUUUUUUUUAAAAGAGCUAGAAAAAGAAUAAAAAAAAGGGCCCAAGAUGAUUAAAGAUAUAUAUAAAUAGAUAGUGUAGAGCUACUAUACUAUUAGAAUCAUAAAAGAGUUGGUACUUCCGAUUUUUUUAGCUAUUGUGUUAAGAAUUGUAGUAUUAGAACGAUAGGAUUUAGUGAUCCCCUAAAAUAAUGGUAUUAAUUCAAGGACUAGAUAUAUGUGAUCAAAGGAGUUGAUUCAAAGGUUAAAAAAUUAAAAGCAUCAUAUGAGUGGUGCUUCCGAAAGCAGUAUGGUCGGACUCUCUCUCUCUCUAUAUAUAUAUAUAUACUUUGGGACUGGGUAGCUAUUCAUGGCUCUGACCCAACCCAACUCGAUCGGAUGUCACAUACACACAAAAAACACUACAAAUCUUGGCUCGGUUCGGAUUUUCUCCAAACUCUUAUUUUCAGGUCUGGUCCAGCAUAGUAAAUAAGGUCGAAUAUGAACCGAUCCGUAGCAACUCGGGCCCUGUCGAGUCCAAUUUACUCAGGUCUAGUUCCAUUUUCCCACGUUUGUGGAGUGGAAAUUUAAAAAACGAACAAAAAAGGAAAUGGAAUAAAACCAUAGUCUUUACGAUUUGUCAAAAACAAAUGAUAUUUUAGCUCGUGAAAUUACCAAAAACUCCGUUACAUUUUGGGUACUUUUUUACAAUCCUAUGAUAAAACCUUUCUAAAUAGCAGUGCGAUAAUGAUGGAAUCGGCACAACCAAAAUACUAAUCACACUUAUAAAUAAAUGUGAUGUAUCUAAAUUCUCCACAAUCAAGAUAUACAAAAUUGGAGUAAAUGACGUUGAAAGAGAAAAAUCCAAGUAACAUUGAAAGAGAAAAAUCCAAGUACAUCCAGAAUAAUGCAAAAAGAUUUACGUGGUCCACUCAAAUCAGGCUACAUUCAUGAACACUAAGAGAUCAAAUUUACUACCAAACUGAGGAGAUUAUAAGACUUGGAUAGAGAUUACCAUUCUAUUACAAUAGAAUUGCAACCUUCUAAUGAAAAUUCUUUCUUGCUAUACCUUCUUUGGAGCACCUUCUGAUUCUACGAAUUCCGCUUCGGAAUGCCUCUAAGAAAUUCUCCAAUUAACCUUGAAAGCUUU